Molecule: long non-coding RNA, 218 nt
Filed under: Vigna radiata
Lineage: Eukaryota; Viridiplantae; Streptophyta; Magnoliopsida; Fabales; Fabaceae
Description: long non-coding RNA (VRAD_LNC007634)
Source: RNAcentral
ACCACAGAUGUUUCAUGUCAUGAGUUGUGUGUAUCACCACCCUAAAAAGCCUCUGUAUAUCCACCAUUAUCGUGCAGUAGGAUUUGGUGGCUAUGUGAGUGUAGAUGAUAGCAUCAAUAAUCAACAUACUUUAUCUCAGCCAACUUAUAGGAUUUUCGUCUCAUCAUUACUCCCACUUUUAGCUUAUUCUUUUACACAACGUAUAUACCAUUUUCUAC